CAAUAGCGUAUAUUAACGUUGUUGCAGUUAAAAAGCUCGUAGUUGGAUUUCUGGAGGGAGCGUCGGCCCGUAUUUACGAGUGCGUGACGUCUCUGUCCAUCCUUGCGGGAAGGCACGGCAUUGAUUUGUUGUGUCGGAUCGCAUCAUUUACUGUGAAAAAAUUAGAGUGUUCAAAGCAGGCUUUCGCUUGAAUACAUUAGCAUGGAAUAUAAGAUAGGACUUUGGUGCUAUUUUGUUGGUUGAGCCUAAAGUAAUGAUUAAUAGGGAUAGUUGGGGGCACCUGUAUUGCGUUGUCAGAGGUGAAAUUCUUGGAUUUACGCAAGACAAACAGCUGCGAAAGCGUCUGCCAAGGAUGUUUUCAUUAA
This 365-nucleotide ribosomal RNA is filed under the name uncultured eukaryote. RNAcentral describes it as "partial 18S ribosomal RNA". It matches the Rfam family "Eukaryotic small subunit ribosomal RNA", at positions 592 to 976 of the family's 1831-position model. The record is from RNAcentral.